GCGACCGUGGCGGAAUGGUAGACGCGCAAGCUUGAGGUGCUUGUGGGGAAAUACCCCGUGGAAGUUCGAGUCUUCUCGGUCGCACCA
RNAcentral lists this transfer RNA (87 nucleotides) under Commensalibacter melissae. Its description in RNAcentral is "Commensalibacter sp. ESL0284 tRNA-Leu". It matches the Rfam family "tRNA". From Rfam's summary of the family: Transfer RNA (tRNA) molecules are approximately 80 nucleotides in length. RNAcentral also lists the same sequence under 17 other names. The record is from RNAcentral. Lineage: Bacteria; Pseudomonadati; Pseudomonadota; Alphaproteobacteria; Acetobacterales; Acetobacteraceae.